RNAcentral lists this ribosomal RNA (865 nucleotides) under Paramylonchulus mulveyi. RNAcentral describes it as "SSU rRNA". It matches the Rfam family "Eukaryotic small subunit ribosomal RNA", at positions 71 to 940 of the family's 1831-position model. Lineage: Eukaryota; Metazoa; Nematoda; Enoplea; Mononchida; Mylonchulidae. The record is from RNAcentral.
CCUUAAAAUGGUAAAGCCGCGAAUGGCUCGGUAUAACAGCCGCAGUCUAUUAGACCGUAGUUAUCUACUUGGAUAACUGUGGCAAUUCUAGAGCUAAUACAUGCAAUUAAGCUCGGACCGCAAGGAAAGAGCGCAUUUAUUAGACCAAAACCAAUCGGGCCUCGGCUCGCGUUUUGGUGACUCUGAAUAACUUAGUUGAUCGCACGGUCUUAGUACCGGCGACGUAUCUUUCGAAUGUCUGCCUUAUCAACUUUCGAUGGUAGGUUAUACGCCUACCAUGGUUAUAACGGGUAACGGAGAAUUAGGGUUCGACUCCGGAGAGGGAGCCUGAGAAAUGGCUACCACAUCCAAGGAAGGCAGCAGGCGCGCAAAUUACCCAAUCUCAGAACGAGGAGGUAGUGACGAAAAAUAACAAAACAGUCCACUUUGUGGCCUGUUAUCGGAAUGGGUACAAUUUAAAACUUUUAACGAGUAUCAAUUAGAGGGCAAGUCUGGUGCCAGCAGCCGCGGUAAUUCCAGCUCUAAUAGCGUAUAUUAAAGUUGUUGUGGUUAAAACGCCCGUAGUUGGUUCUUCGGUCUCGAAGCUCGGUAGCUCGUAAGGGCUUAACCGGGUCUUCCGGCCUACACUUUUAGUACGCUCCCGAUGCUCUUUAUUGAGUGUCUCGAGUUGCUAGAACGUUUACUUUGAAAAAAUUAGAGUGCUAAAAGCAGGCUAUAUGCUUGAAUAAAGUGCAUGGAAUAAUGGAAUAGGACUUUAGUUUUAUUUUGUUGGUUUUCGAAAUUAAAGUAAUGAUUAAGAGGAACAGACGGGGGCAUUCGUAUUGUUGCGUUAGAGGUGAAAUUCUUGGAUCGUAGCAAGACGAAC